UACGUAGGGGGCAAGCGUUAUCCGGAAUUACUGGGUGUAAUGGGAGCGUAGACGGUAAUGUAAGUCUGGAGUGAAAGGCGGGGGCCCAACCCCAGGACUGCUCUGGAAACUAUGUUACUAGAGUGCAGGAGAGGUAAGCGGAAUUCCUAGUGUAGCGGUGAAACGCGUAGAUAUUAGGAGGAACACCAGUGGCGAAGGCGGCUUACUGGACUGUAACUGACGUUGAGGCUCGAAAGCGUGGGGAGCAAACAGG
Molecule: ribosomal RNA, 253 nt
Filed under: uncultured bacterium
Lineage: Bacteria
Description: partial 16S ribosomal RNA
Rfam family: Bacterial small subunit ribosomal RNA
Source: RNAcentral